CUGGCUCAGGAUGAACGCUAGCUACAGGCUUAACACAUGCAAGUCGAGGGGCAGCAUUGGGUAGCAAUACUCAGAUGGCGACCGGCGCACGGGUGAGUAACACGUAUCCAACCUGCCGCUUACUCGGGGAUAGCCUUUCGAAAGAAAGAUUAAUACCCGAUGGUAUAAAGAGUUCGCAUGUUCUCUUUAUUAAAGAAUUUCGGUAAGCGAUGGGGAUGCGUUCCAUUAGAUAGUUGCGGGGUAACGGCCCACCAAGUCUACGAUGGAUAGGGGUUCUGAGAGGAAGGUCCCCCACAUUGGAACUGAGACACGGUCCAAACUCCUACGGGAGGCAGCAGUGAGGAAUAUUGGUCAAUGGACGAGAGUCUGAACCAGCCAAAAGUAGCGUGAAGGAUGACUGCCCUAUGGGUUGUAAACUUCUUUUAUAAGGGAAUAAAGUGAGGGACGUGUCCCUUUUUGUAUGUACCUUAUGAAUAAGGAUCGGCUAACUCCGUGCCAGCCGCCGC
This 506-nucleotide ribosomal RNA is filed under the name uncultured bacterium. RNAcentral describes it as "bacterial SSU rRNA". It matches the Rfam family "Bacterial small subunit ribosomal RNA", at positions 19 to 518 of the family's 1533-position model. The record is from RNAcentral.